Molecule: ribosomal RNA, 497 nt
Filed under: uncultured bacterium
Lineage: Bacteria
Description: partial 16S ribosomal RNA
Rfam family: Bacterial small subunit ribosomal RNA
Source: RNAcentral
GAUGAACGCUGGCGGCGUGCCUAAUACAUGCAAGUCGAGCGAACAGAUAAGGAGCUUGCUCCUUUGACGUUAGCGGCGGACGGGUGAGUAACACGUGGGUAACCUACCUAUAAGACUGGGAUAACUUCGGGAAACCGGAGCUAAUACCGGAUAAUAUUUCGAACCGCAUGGUUCGAUAGUGAAAGAUGGUUUUGCUAUCACUUAUAGAUUGACCCGCGCCGUAUUAGCUAGUUGGUAAGGUAACGGCUUACCAAGGCGACGAUACGUAGCCGACCUGAGAGGGUGAUCGGCCACACUGGAACUGAGACACGGUCCAGACUCCUACGGGAGGCAGCAGUAGGGAAUCUUCCGCGAUGGGCGAAAGCCUGACGGAGCAACGCCGCGUGAGUGAUGAAGGUCUUCGGAUCGUAAAACUCUGUUAUUAGGGAAGAACAUACGUGUAAGUAACUGUGCACGUCUUGACGGUACCUAAUCAGAAAGCCACGGCUAACUACGUG